CACAGCUCUCUAUUGGGUCUCGCUCUCGGGGUCCCGCGCGCCGGCAGUGCUGAUUGGCCGCUGGGGCUUCAUUCAUGACCCCCCCCCAGCACCGCCCGCGUACACAUUCACGCCCCGGGGGCGCGGCCGCCACGUGGGGAGUGGCGCGGGGGUGGCACUGGGACCGCACCCCCUCCGGUCCCGGCUGCGUGGGCCCCGCUCUCACCGCAGCGCGGGAGACUCGGAGCCCGGUCGGUCCCCACGUUCCACACAAGCUCAAUUUCCGCCCGCAUCCCACUGGGGCGGGCGGGGGAUUGCGGGCUCCGGGAGGCGCUCGGGCUCCGAGCAGAGACUCAGCCCCGCACUCCUUCCUGCGGUGCGCCGCUGCUUGCGGGCCAGGAUCCCGCGAUUCUAGGCUGCGGCGAGAGCGAGGCAGCGUGACUUCUCGGCUCGGUACCGCGCGGCUGCUCACCUCCGGGGCCUCGCCUCCUGCGGCUGCCAGGUCGCACCGGGCUCUCCCACGGUCUCGGUUUUCCUUCUUCUCCCUAUAGAUUCAGCGUCACAACUAGCUAGACCUAUGCGGUUCUGAAAGUGCAGCAGGCACGGACAGAGUCGGAUCGGCUUGGGCUUCACGCCUCUCGUCGGCUCACCUUCCUUUUCCUGGGCACCGAGGCCAGAUCCACCAUGCUGGUCCUCUCUACUGAUGGGCAUCAUUCUCCUCAAGCCCAGUGAACAGGAAGUGGGAAGUACUCGGAUGACCUCAUAGAAGAUAUGGAUGUCAAGACACAGGAAAUAAACCCAGUGAAGAGUCAGGAUCUGAUACACUGGUGACGUGCUUAAAGGUCUUGUCCACUGAGUUCCCAACCAUGGAGGAUGAGGCAUAGUGCUUGGUUCCCAGACCGUGGCACGGAACUAUCCACAUUGAUGUAAAUCAUUUGAACUCUGGGCUGAGAGGAUGUUUCAGUGCUUGCGUGAGGACCUGAGUUGGAUCUCCGGUACCUACAUAAUAAAAGGAUCUGACUCUGGCUGGUUGUCUGCUAAGGAGACCCUCAAUUCUGAAUGGCCCAUGGGGAUUUCUUCAGUUUGGCUGCUGACUACCUUAAGCAAAAGCCUGUACCUAAGACAGAGCUUAUACAAUGCAGAAUCAUGAAGCAUGGAGUGACACUGUCACCUUCCCCGGUUUAUUAGAAACAACUCAGGAAGAGCAGCAACUGCCAUCACUGUACCAAUGAAGGACUGUGGAGAUCAAGGAACCCUGAUCCCUACCAGGGGAAAGCAGGGCCACCGUGGAAUUGGUCAUAGACACUGUGUGAUCCAACACCCAUGAUUGUCAGUGAAGCCAAACCUCAGAAGACUCUCAGGGCAUGCCCUGGCCCAGUUCCACUUUGUCAGGGCCCAUGGCAACACUGGGUCAUGCAGGUGACCCAGGACAAGCUCCCUGUUGUAAAGCCAGCUGGUUAGCAACUCACUUCACCCACAGCCUUCAUUCCCCGCGGACCAAGCGACGUAGCAGAUUCUCGGUGUCCAAGAUAAGGACUCUAGCAUCAUCUGCCUAGCGUCUUCUGUCGGCUGCCAGUUUGUUCCUGUGGUUCCUAUCAGACCGAACCUCCGAACAUGAGCCAAGGUGGAAGCUACAGAGAGAUCAGCCAACACUUUUGUCAUUGGGCCACCCGCGUCAUGUCCCUGAGCAUGUGAACAGGUCUCCUCUGGGCUAGAGUGCCCAGAGCUGCAGCCUGCGCCCUGUGCCCCGUGGCAGGAUGUCUUGUGCCAUACACAACCUACACGUGCUCUGUGGCUCUGCCCUGCUGUCUCACACAGCCUGUGACACAAAGCGCCAGUGUGGGCAGCGUGCUUGUUGAACGUGUAAUUGAAUGGAGCCCAGUGCCUUUCGUUCACUCCGCAUCCUGCUCAGGGACCUGUGACCUCCUUCAUUGCGCUUGGCUCUUCAGAGCAGGCUCUAGCCACAGGCACCGUGGAUACUGUAUGCAUGAGUGUGAGCAUCAAUUACGGGCUUCGUUGACCUGGAACCCAAAGUGGAAGUCUGCGCAGGAAGUGACCAUGGCCUGGGCUGGAAAGGCCAGGCCAGGGAGCUGAACCAUGGGGCUUCUGGCCUGCCCUUGCAGCUGCCCCAGCUGCUUCCUUCCCAGUCUCUGCCCCCACCCCCAGCCCCCAUGCAUUCGAGAUUCCCGGGAGGUCGAGCCUGGUGUAAUUACAGGGUAUCUGCUGCCUCCCUAUAAAUCUAAUAGACUUUUUGGCCUUGUCAGAUUAAAACUUACCUAUCAACCCGCCGCAGUCCUCUAGAUCUCCCUAAAUCUGUACUUGGGAGAGAAUUUAUGGCCAGGAAUUGCAUUUUGCAAAAUGAUUAAAGUUGCCAAACAGCCAUAAAAAGUUGCAGGAGGAGAUACGGUUUUUUUGAAAGUCUGCUUAAUUUAUAAGGGGUGGAAGGUUUAUUGUCAUUUAGAGUCCACAGCCAGGCAGCGAUGGAGCGUUUGGCGGCAGCUGUGCACAUCUGCUUCUGCUUUAUGCCUUUUACAUGUUUUUAAAUUGCCCUGUUUGAAUCUGCAGCCGCCAAAGCAUCCCGGUCUGCAGAAGGGUGGUUAACUCCUGCCCUCUGACGCUGGCCUCUCAUGCCCUAUUCCUCAGACGACCCGACUCGCCUCCCAGAAGUGUUCCUGGGUGAUCCCGUCUCACGCCGACUGCUCCAUGCCUUCCUGUCAUCGGCCAGUCCCACCAGCAGAGCCCUCACGUGUGCGAAGCUUUCAAGUCUAUAGGCGGGUUUCGCGUGCCGCGUCUUAACACUUGUCUCCCUGGAUUAAAUGAUUAAACGAGAUCAAACACUCAAGGCUCUAAACGACCGGUGUUACCUCUUGAGCUGAUAAAUAGAAUUAGGGCUCCCGUUUAUUGACCGAAUGCGAGAUGCCAGACCUCUGCUCCUCACUCCUCCUGCAUUAGUUCACAGACUCUUGGCUGCCGCUGUGGGAGACAGCUGUCAGUUGUACCUGGGUUUUGGGAAGUGUGAAGAACUUAAAGCCAAGGUCGUGAAGUCAACACUCAAGCACAUUAGCUAACUAUUGGCAAUGUCAUUAGGGCAAGCAUCUCACUUGUCUGUCUCCCGGGCUGGCACAGAGCAGACCCUGAGUGGAUCCUGUUGAGGGCGAGCCUGCAUGAACUGAGCUGUCCCAGUUGCUGUCUCUUAUCCCCGCCCCGCCUCCCCUUCUCCUUACAGGCAUCAGACCCUGGAUCAUCAGAAGUCUAACUUAGCGCUCAGUCUGGUGUCUGACGUAUUAUAGUUCUUGAUUCGCUGGAAAGAGGACUGAAUACAGUCAAUCCCAACAGUCCUCUGAGGACGGUUUUAGGAACUCCAUCGUGCGGGAGGGAGGGGCCUGAGGGUGUGUGACACCUGUUCAAAUACAGCGUCAGAGCCAGGAUUUGGAUUCGUUUUUUGUUUCUUUGUUUUGUUUUCUCACCAGCGCCCGCCCACCUAACCACCUGGCAGACGUUUGGGGGGCUGGGGGAGAUUCGGAAGUGUUUCUUCUUCACCACCAUCCUGUCUAGUAUCUAUUAAAUACCCAUCACUCACCAGCUGCAGACAUUCUCCAGAAAGCCCCAGAACACCUUCCCAGAGGUGUCUGUUAUUCUUCCCAUUUUACAGAUGUGGAAGCAGGUUGAAGGAGGCUGCCUAGUAACUGACUGAUCUGAUUCCUGAGCCUCCUGCCAGCGCCAUGGAGUGAAGAGAAGUUUGGCCCUGGGAUGAUGAGAUGGAUCCACUUGGAUGUUCUCCGGCCCCACCCCCACCCCGCAUCCUUGUCCCUCCAUCCUUGCUGUACAAGUGGUCUGCCUUCGUGCUCACAGCCAGGCUCAGCAGGGAGAGUAGCCUCGUCCUUGGAUUUCCCUGCUUCCCAGACACUGCAGACAACUAAAGCCUGGUCUAGGCUCGUCCCCCCCACUCCCGGGUGGGCGCAUUUAUUCUUUCUCUCAUUCAUUUGUUGAUUCAUUCAACCAGUAGUUUCUGAGCUCUUAGGGUCUGCUAGACUGGGAACACAGCAGCGACCCCAGCUGACCAGUCUGUUGUCUUCACAGAGGUUACCCCACUGACUGGAUAGACACGUCGGUUUUUAGUGAGCAACCCAGGCCUUGAUGUGAGUAAUACCUGAGGCACGGUGGGAAGUGCCUGGCUAUUGCUUUGGUUCGCAGACAGAGAUCUCAUCUCCACCACAAGAGGGGACGUCUGCAGGGGGAUCUGAGUAUGAUGAAGCUAUUCAAAGGAAGAUCCAGAUACAGAACAUCCCAUACUCGGUCAGGAGUCAUUCCAGCACCAACAUCUGACUCCGAUGCUCUCGUAGACCACAGGCCUUUUCUAGCCAGCUCUGGGAGUGGUGUCUGACAAAUGCUUUCUGGGCUGACGUGAGUUUUUUGCGUACUCUAGCAGAAGCACUGAGUUAGCAAGUCCCCUUUGUUUGAACAAACAAGAUUAGAAGCCUCCUGGUAAGGCUCAAGCCAAUCUACACUUUCUGGGACUUCUGGCCUCUGGAGGGCUCCUCGGUGUUUUCUAAAAGCCAGUGAGAGUAAAAAUUUGAAUAGAUAUCUCUCAAAAGCUGGUCCUGUAUUACCUUGAGACAAGUGUUUGUUAAAAAAAAAAAGAUUCUAGUUGCUAGAACACAUCUUGUAAAUACUUGUGUUUGAAAAUGUACACUUCCGGGAUGCUUUGCGGGUUCCUGUGCAUGUUCACGUACGACUGGAAAUCUGUUUGUCACAGAUGCUUCCCGGGCCUGGUGGUUGUUUUCUCUUUGCUAAUUAAUCUACUGAUGUGGAAUUAUGCAUCUUUCUCCAUAAGCUAGGAGUGUAUUUAAAAGCUCAU
Molecule: small RNA, 4837 nt
Filed under: Rattus norvegicus (Norway rat)
Lineage: Eukaryota; Metazoa; Chordata; Mammalia; Rodentia; Muridae
Description: uncharacterized LOC102548116
Source: RNAcentral